This 493-nucleotide ribosomal RNA is filed under the name uncultured bacterium. Its description in RNAcentral is "partial 16S ribosomal RNA". It matches the Rfam family "Bacterial small subunit ribosomal RNA", at positions 28 to 506 of the family's 1533-position model. The record is from RNAcentral.
GACGAACGCUGGCGGCGCGCUUAACACAUGCAAGUCGAACGGAAAGGCCUGCUUUCCCUUGUGGAUUGCGGGUACUCGAGUGGCGAACGGGUGAGUAACACGUGAGUGAUCUGCCCCCAACUUGGGUAUAAGCCUGGGAAACUGGGUCUAAUUCCCGAUAGGACUGCAGGGUGGUGCCUGUGGUGGAAAACGAUUUUCUAGUGGUUGGGGAUGAGCUCGCGGCCUAUCGGCUUGUUGGUGGGGUAAUGGCCUACCAAGGCGGCGACGGGUAGCCGGCCUGAGAGGGUGGACGGCCACAUUGGGACUGAGAUACGGCCCAGACUCCUACGGGAGGCAGCAGUGGGGAAUAUUGCACAAUGGGCGGAAGCCUGAUGCAGCGACGCCGCGUGGGGGAUGACGGCCUUCGGGUUGUAAACUCCUUUCGACCGCGAGGAAGCCACCUGGUUGGAAGGGUGGUGACGGUAGUGGUAGAAGAAGCACCGGCUAACUACGU